GAAGCGGACUGAGUAAUCGCCUCCAAAAGCGGUUGGUGGUUUAUGGUUGGUAGUUAAUGGUUUAAAAAACUAAAAAUUGCUAACCAACAACUAUAACUGAUUUGGGGGAGGAAAGUCCGGACUCCAUAGGGCGGGAUGCCUCGUAACGCGAGGGCGAAGUGAUUCGACGGAAAGUGCCACAGAAAAGAAAACCCCCUCGCCUUUGGCGGGAGGAAAGCUGAAACGGUGAGGUAAGAGCAUCACCAGCUUCGUUGUAAGGCGGAGGCUUGGCAAACCCCAUCCGGAGCAAGGCCAAAUAGGGGAGGAGUCGUGGUUGCCCGCCGCGUCACAACUUUCGGGUUGGCCGCAUGACCUCGAUAGCGAUGUCGGGGCUAGAUAAAUGAUUACUCAACACCGCUUAUGGCGGUGUGGACAGAAUCCGGCUUAUAGGUCCGCUUUCCAA
Molecule: RNase P RNA, 442 nt
Filed under: Actinomycetota bacterium
Lineage: Bacteria; Bacillati; Actinomycetota
Description: RNase P RNA component class A
Rfam family: Bacterial RNase P class A
About the family: Ribonuclease P (RNase P) is a ubiquitous endoribonuclease, found in archaea, bacteria and eukarya as well as chloroplasts and mitochondria.
Source: RNAcentral